RNAcentral lists this ribosomal RNA (305 nucleotides) under uncultured bacterium. RNAcentral's name for it is "partial 16S ribosomal RNA". It matches the Rfam family "Bacterial small subunit ribosomal RNA", at positions 505 to 808 of the family's 1533-position model. The record is from RNAcentral.
ACAGCAGCAGCCGCGGGAAUACGUAGGUCCCGAGCGUUGUCCGGAUUUAUUGGGCGUAAAGCGAGCGCAGGCGGUUAGAUAAGUCUGAAGUUAAAGGCUGUGGCUUAACCAUAGUACGCUUUGGAAACUGUUUAACUUGAGUGCAAGAGGGGAGAGUGGAAUUCCAUGUGUAGCGGUGAAAUGCGUAGAUAUAUGGAGGAACACCGGUGGCGAAAGCGGCUCUCUGGCUUGUAACUGACGCUGAGGCUCGAAAGCGUGGGGCGCAAACAGGAUUAGAUACCCGAGUAGUCCCUGUCUCUUAUACA